Long non-coding RNA from Ostrinia furnacalis (Asian corn borer), 2106 nucleotides. RefSeq lists it as uncharacterized. The record is from RefSeq and is a predicted model, not a curated record. NCBI's taxonomy places the organism in Eukaryota, Metazoa, Arthropoda, Insecta, Lepidoptera, Crambidae. The transcript has 2 exons.
GAAAAAUGCCAACUUUUCAGGAGCGUAAAAAAACUGUCCUAAAAAUUUAUUACCAUUAUUAAAAAUAUGUGUUAUACAUCAAAAGAUAGCUAAAAAUGUCUGUGAGGGGCCUAUGUAUUUAUAUUUAAAAUACACUUAAUAGGUUUUGAGAAAAACUUCAAAAAGAGCGUUGCGUACUUAUUCCGCGAAACAUAUUUAACACCUUGUUGUUGUAAUUAUGAAUAUUGCAUUGUUGACAUGUAAAGGAAUACAUGCUGUUUGGUAUUAUUGCAGAUAACCACUUAUUGGCGUUCAGAUUUAGUCGUGCAUUCAACGUGGAGAGACGAGCUAUCAAAAGGACUAAUGCCCGUUUUCACCAUCAAUCCCUAAUUUGUAAGUGACCUCUAUGGUGAUACAUAACAGGAAUUUUGUUUUUAUAGGGGUCACUUAAAAAUUUGGGAUUAAUGGUGAAAACGGGCAUAAAACUCAUUUAUUUUUGCAAGUAGGCUUUUAUAAAGCACUUUUAUAGUUUUACACUCCCCAGUAUUAACCCAACCACUGCUUCAGGACAUUUUUUUUUACGGAAGCGGUAGAUAGAUAUUUUGUAAAGUUACCAUUUAAAACAGAAAAUCCACAAUCACCAUUUGCAGACACCAAACCGAGGAAUGAACUGCCGUUUGCAGUAUUUGCGGACCAAUACGACCUAAAACCUUUAAGAGCAGACUCUAAUACUUUAAAGACAAUCAACGCACCUGUAACUCACCGAGGAGCGGGUGUCUAUGGGUGGCGGGUAAACACUUACCAUCAGGUGAUUCGUCUGCUCGUUUGCCUCCUUUCCCUUAAAAAACCCAGAAACAUAACCACUCACAGGUCCGUUCAAUUAGAAAGGAAGUUACAGAAAUCACUAGACCUGAAAAAAGAUUAACAAACACACAGAUUUUUUUUUUUUUAAAAAAGAUAACUACCUGAAAAAGAAAAAGAAACAAGACUGACAGUAUACUUACCUCAUCAUGCGGUCGUCUGGAAUAAUACGGAGACAACUCGCGCACGAUUAUAUUUGAUGCUUUGUGUUAAGGUUCGAUUUAUAUUUCACUGAAUAACGAACUGCUUGUAGGUUCCCAGCUGCAAGAAAACCCGAGAAAUAUUAUAAUGAGAUGAAACGUGUUUGCUUCAUAGAUGACAUUAUGAAGAUGAUCUUCAGAUUUAUGUGACAAAAAAUGAUUCGGAUUACCGGAGUACCGAUUUCUAUAAAAUAAUAAAACAAUAUUUUUAUAUCAACGACCUUUUAUCAAGAGUGGACUGGUCAAUUGAAGCUAUAAUGCUAUAAUUUAAUGAGAACUUACAGAGCAGAUAAUAAUACAUCUGAUGUGACCAUCCACCAGGUUACACUUCAGAGAAUGUGCGAAGGAAUUACACGACCUAAUUCCACCAGCCCCCUUCCAUCAUCAGACGCUGGUUAACGUAUCAUUCCUACAUUGUCGACAUUCCACCAGCUUGCACUAAGCGUUUCGAUAAACUCUUUUAUAAUGCGAACCGGUCGCUGCCUGCUGCUGUCUCUCCUGAGCACUAUACCGGACCUUAUAGGCACUUACAGGUAGAUAUCUAUCAUCUUAUACUGCAUCUCACUUAACAUCACAUGCAAUUGCGGUCAAAUACCUUUUGCUACCUAGUUCUGCGUUGAGUUUAUGAAGUCAAUAGAAGACAACAAAAUAUCAGCUAGUGCUAAAGUAGUUUUAUGAACCUUGAUGAAACAGUCCAAGUAUUGGGUAUUGAAUGGAAUUUGAGCACAGAUUUCAAUUCAAUGUGAAUAUACCACAAAUUGCAAAACCAACCAUGAAACGUAACAUUUUAUCUGAUACAUCUGAUCAAACUUUUUGAUUCCCUUGGCUGGAGCCUGGAGCUUAGCGUUAAUUAUAAUUUUUUUAAAUUAAUUUACAGUCAUGGCUAAGAUUCUAAUGGAAAUAGAAUAGAAAGUAUUUAUUUGUUUCAAAACAAAAACAUUGGCUGAUAAAAAACUAGUAAGGAUGGAAAGAUAAGUAACUCAUUAGAAAAAGAUUGGAUUAAGAUACGGCAGGAUUUGAUUCACAUUGACAAAAUACAGAUAUAGGUUGGUAUACUAUCUAUAGA